GACGAACGCUGGCGGCGUGCUUAACACAUGCAAGUCGAACGGAAAGGCCCUGCUUUUGUGGGGUGCUCGAGUGGCGAACGGGUGAGUAACACGUGAGUAACCUGCCCUUGACUUUGGGAUAACUUCAGGAAACUGGGGCUAAUACCGGAUAGGAGCUCCUGCUGCAUGGUGGGGGUUGGAAAGUUUCGGCGGUUGGGGAUGGACUCGCGGCUUAUCAGCUUGUUGGUGGGGUAGUGGCUUACCAAGGCUUUGACGGGUAGCCGGCCUGAGAGGGUGACCGGCCACAUUGGGACUGAGAUACGGCCCAGACUCCUACGGGAGGCAGCAGUGGGGAAUAUUGCACAAUGGGCGGAAGCCUGAUGCAGCAACGCCGCGUGCGGGAUGACGGCCUUCGGGUUGUAAACCGCUUUCGCCUGUGACGAAGCGUGAGUGAAGGUAAUGGGUAAAGAAGCACCGGCUAACUAAGUG
Molecule: ribosomal RNA, 468 nt
Filed under: uncultured bacterium
Lineage: Bacteria
Description: partial 16S ribosomal RNA
Rfam family: Bacterial small subunit ribosomal RNA
Source: RNAcentral